RNAcentral lists this ribosomal RNA (494 nucleotides) under uncultured bacterium. RNAcentral describes it as "partial 16S ribosomal RNA". It matches the Rfam family "Bacterial small subunit ribosomal RNA", at positions 28 to 507 of the family's 1533-position model. The record is from RNAcentral.
GACGAACGCUGGCGGCGCGCUUAACACAUGCAAGUCGAACGGAAAGGCCUGCUUUCCCUUGUGGAUUGCGGGUACUCGAGUGGCGAACGGGUGAGUAACACGUGAGUGAUCUGCCCCCAACUUGGGUAUAAGCCCGGGAAACUGGGUCUAAUUCCCGAUAGGACUGCAGGGUGGUGCCUGUGGUGGAAAACGAUUUUCUAGUGGUUGGGGAUGAGCUCGCGGCCUAUCAGCUUGUUGGUGGGGUAAUGGCCUACCAAGGCGGCGACGGGUAGCCGGCCUGAGAGGGUGGACGGCCACAUUGGGACUGAGAUACGGCCCAGACUCCUACGGGAGGCAGCAGUGGGGAAUAUUGCACAAUGGGCGGAAGCCUGAUGCAGCGACGCCGCGUGGGGGAUGACGGCCUUCGGGUUGUAAACUCCUUUCGACCGCGAGGAAGCCACCUGGUUGGAAGGGUGGUGACGGUAGUGGUAGAAGAAGCACCGGCUAACUACGUG